RNAcentral lists this ribosomal RNA (497 nucleotides) under uncultured bacterium. RNAcentral describes it as "partial 16S ribosomal RNA". It matches the Rfam family "Bacterial small subunit ribosomal RNA", at positions 28 to 507 of the family's 1533-position model. The record is from RNAcentral.
GAUGAACGCUGGCGGCGUGCCUAAUACAUGCAAGUCGAGCGAACAGACGAGGAGCUUGCUCCUCUGACGUUAGCGGCGGAAGGGUGAGUAACACGUGGAUAACCUACCUAUAAGACUGGGAUAACUUCGGGAAACCGGAGCUAAUACCGGAUAAUAUAUUGAACCGCAUGGUUCAAUAGUGAAAGACGGUUUUGCUGUCACUUAUAGAUGGAUCCGCGCCGCAUUAGCUAGUUGGUAAGGUAACGGCUUACCAAGGCGACGAUGCGUAGCCGACCUGAGAGGGUGAGCGACCACACUGGAACUGAGACACGGUCCAGACUCCUACGGGAGGCAGAAGUAGGGAAUCUUCCGCAAUGGGCGAAAGCCUGACGGAGCAAAGCCGAGUGAGUGAUGAAGGUCUUCGGAUCGUAAAACUCUGUUAUUAGGGAAGAACAAAUGUGUAAGUAACUAUGCACGUCUUGACGGUACCUAAUCAGAAAGCCACGGCUAACUACGUG